This is a non-coding RNA of Biscogniauxia marginata, 86 nucleotides long. The record is from the annotation of a GenBank genome assembly. Lineage: Eukaryota; Fungi; Ascomycota; Sordariomycetes; Xylariales; Xylariaceae.
GGCUUCGUGGUCUAGUGGUAUGAUUCUCGCUUUGGGUUGCUACACCAGAAUGCGAGAGGCCCCGGGUUCGAAUCCCGGCGAAGCCC